GCAGGAAUUGAAGAACCUGAUGUUGUACUGCUCGAUGAUUGAUCAGGAGAACUGGUGCUUGAUCUUUGUGAAGAGUCUGGAGAAACAGUGAGAGUAUUCUGUGAAGCAAGAGGAGGAAAAUCAGCUUCUGAGAAACGAGGAGCAGAUGUCUGAUGAUAAACUCUUGUUUCUUCAGGUACAGAAUUGUUCUCCUGAUGCUCUGUUUCUUCAGGUGUAGAGUUGCUCUCUUUAAAGCUCAUCUGCCAUGCUUUAAGCAAUGGAGUUAAGACAGAUGGAUGGCUUUUCUUGUAGGUGUCUUCAAAAGGAAACAGGGUCUCAUCAAAUAGCACAUGUCUUGUGAUGUAUACACGACCAGUAGGUGGGUAUAAACACCUAUAUCCUUUGUAUUUGUCGUUGUAGCCUAGGAAAACACACUUUAGUGAUCUAGGAUCGAACUUGUUGAUAGCAUAGUCUCGCAAAGAGGGAUAGCAAGCACACCCAAAUGUUCUUAGAAAGCUGUAGUUAACUUGAGUAUCAAACAGCUUCUGAUGUGGUGUUUGAUGAUCUUCCAGGGUUGAAGUUGGUAGAAGAUUGCUCAGAAAGGCUGCUGUGAAGAAGGCUUCUACCCAAUACUUCAAUGGCAUCUUACUGUCGAACAUCAUAGACAGCCCCAACUCGGUGAUGUGACGAUGCUUCCUCUCAGCAAGACCGUUCUGCUGUGGAGUAUGAGGGCAUGAGAUCUGUUGCUGAAUCCCAUCUUUUUGCAGGUGAUUCAGGAACGCAGAGCUGAUGAACUCUCCACCACCAUCACACUGAAAGGUUUUUAUUCUACUCUUCAGUUGAUUUUCUACUAAUGCUUGGAACUUGCAAAAGAUAGAAUAGAAAUCUGAUUUAUAUUUCAUAGGAUAGAGCCAACAAUAUCUCGACCAAUGGUCAAUGAAUAUUACAUAGUAUCUAAAUCCUUGAAUACUCUCUGUUGGAGCAGGUCUCCAUAAGUCGCAGUGAACCUUCUCCAGAGGAGCUUUAGCAACAAAGGUUGAAGGUUGAAAAGGUAAUCUACUACUCUUGCCAAACUGACAUGAUGCACACAUCUCGCUUGAUCUUGAGCUUAUUGAAAUGAGUUGAUUUGCUGACAGGUGCUGGAGAAUCUGCUGAUGAGGAUGCCCAAGUCUCCUAUGCCAAACAACAUCUGAUGCACAAUGCUGCCUAGAGGAGUAGAGAGCUUUUAUUUGAUGAGCGUUCUCCAACUGAUACAACCCGUUAACCUUUCUUCCCUUGGUAAGUACCUUCUUUGUGAUUUUGUCCUUAAAACGAACCUCAGAGUUAUCAAAUUUGACAGAGCAAGGAUAAUCAUCUGUAGCUUUAGAAACUGAAACUAGAGAUUUCUUUAUUUUAGGACACACAAUAACAUUCUUUAGAGGUAGAUUACCUGAUGCUGAAGCCAAGUUUGUAGAUCCAGUAUGAGUUAUAGGCAGAUAUGACCCAUCUCCAACCAUAACUGUAUCUGAACCGUGAUAAGGCUGAGCAUGUUGCAGGUUGUGCACAGAGUUGGUGACGUGAGCAGUAGCUGCAGAGUCAGCAUACCAGUCAGCACUUGCCUCAUCAGAAAUGUCAGUAAUGCGCAUAGCAGCAAGGGCUUGAGUAGAUUCUUCAGACUGGUAGUUGUUGUUGUAGCGAAAGUAGCAUCUGAAUGCUUGAUGUCCUGGUUUUCCACAGAUCUGACAGACA
This 1707-nucleotide long non-coding RNA is filed under the name Brassica napus (rape). RNAcentral describes it as "long non-coding RNA (BNAP_LNC008789)". The record is from RNAcentral. Lineage: Eukaryota; Viridiplantae; Streptophyta; Magnoliopsida; Brassicales; Brassicaceae.